This 2849-nucleotide ribosomal RNA is filed under the name Lactobacillus psittaci DSM 15354. RNAcentral describes it as "bacterial LSU rRNA". It matches the Rfam family "Bacterial large subunit ribosomal RNA". The record is from RNAcentral. Lineage: Bacteria; Bacillati; Bacillota; Bacilli; Lactobacillales; Lactobacillaceae.
UCAAGUAGAGAAGGGCGCACGGUGAAUGCCUGGGCACUAGCAGCCGAAGAAGGACGUGACGAACCACGAAAGGCUACGGGGAGCUGUAAGUAAGCUAAGAUCCGUAGAUAUCCGAAUGGGGGAACCCGGUGCAGCGAUGCAUCAUUAAAUACUGUUAAGGUAUUUAAAGGAAGACGCAGUGAACUGAAACAUCUAAGUAGCUGCAGGAAGAGAAAGAAAGAUCGAUUUCCCAAGUAGCGGCGAGCGAACAGGAAAGAGCCCAAACCAGUGAAUUUAUUCAUUGGGGUUGUAGGACUACGAUGUGAGACAGAGAGGUAUAGUUGAAGCCUUUGGGAAGAGGCGCCAGAGAGGGUGAUAGCCCCGUAAGCGAAAUAGCUCGAAGCUCUAGUAGAAUCCUGAGUAGGCCGGGACACGAGAAAUCCCGGUUGAAACAGCGAGGACCAUCUCGCAAGGCUAAAUACUAGCUAGUGACCGAUAGUGAACCAGUACCGUGAGGGAAAGGUGAAAAGAACCCCGGGAGGGGAGUGAAAGAGAACCUGAAACCGUGUGCCUACAAGUAGUCAAAGCACAUUAAAGUGUAAUGGCGUGCCUUUUGUAGAAUGAACCGGCGAGUUACGUUAAAUAGCAAGGUUAAGUGAGAAAAGACGGAGCCGUAGCGAAAGCGAGUCUGAAUAGGGCGAGAAGUUAUUUGACGUAGACCCGAAACCAAGUGACCUACCCAUGUCCAGGUUGAAGGCCAGGUAAAACUGGCUGGAGGACCGAACCCACGUAAGUUAAAAAUUGCGGGGAUGAGGUGUGGGUAGCGGUGAAAUUCCAAACGAACUUGGAGAUAGCUGGUUCUCUCCGAAAUAGCUUUAGGGCUAGCCUCGCGAGAGAGGAUAAUGGAGGUAGAGCACUGUUUGGACUAGGGGCCCGUCAGGGGUUACUGAAUCCAGAUAAACUCCGAAUUCCAUAUAUCUAUACGCGGGAGUCAGACUGCGAGUGAUAAGAUCCGUAGUCGAAAGGGAAACAGCCCAGAUCACCAGUUAAGGUCCCCAAAUCUAUGCUAAGUGGAAAAGGAUGUGGAGUUGCGUAGACAACUAGGACGUUGGCUUAGAAGCAGCCAUCAUUCAAAGAGUGCGUAAUAGCUCACUAGUCGAGUGGCGCUGCGCCGAAAAUUUACCGGGGCUAAGCAUAGUACCGAAACUGUGGAUGUACGUAAGUACGUGGUAGGAGAGCGUUCUAAUAGCGGAGAAGCCUAAUCGAGAGGAUAGGUGGAGCGAUUAGAAGUGAGAAUGCCGGUAUGAGUAGCGAAAGAUAGGUGAGAAUCCUAUCCGCCGAAAGACUAAGGUUUCCUGGGGCAGGCUCGUCCGCCCAGGGUAAGUCGGGACCUAAGGUAAGGCCGAGAGGCGUAGCCGAUGGACAACAGGUUGAGAUUCCUGUACUAAUAUCAAUCGAUAUGAGCGAUGGAGGGACGCAGGAGGCUAAUGACGCAUGGUGCUGGAUCCAUGUGAAAGCGUCAAGGCUGAAAGUGAGUCAAAUGCUUGCUUUCGAAAAGGCUAAGGCGUGAUGCGGAGCGAAAUAAAGUAGCGAAGGUCAUGAUGUCACACUGCCGAGAAAAGCUUCUAGCCAGAGAGAUAUUACCCGUACCGCAAACCGACACAGGUAGUCGAGUGGAGAACACUAAGGUGAGCGAGAGAACUCUCGUUAAGGAACUCGGCAAAAUGACCCCGUAACUUCGGGAGAAGGGGUGCUAAUCGAAAGAUUAGCCGCAGUGAAUAGGCCCAAACAACUGUUUAUCAAAAACACAGGUAUCUGCAAAAUCGUAAGAUGACGUAUAGGUGCUGACACCUGCCCGGUGCUGGAAGGUUAAGAGGAGAGCUUAGCGUAAGCGAAGGUUUGAAUUGAAGCCCCAGUAAACGGCGGCCGUAACUAUAACGGUCCUAAGGUAGCGAAAUUCCUUGUCGGGUAAGUUCCGACCUGCACGAAAGGUGUAAUGAUUUGGGCACUGUCUCAACGAGAGACUCGGUGAAAUUAUAAUACCCGUGAAGAUGCGGGUUACCCGCGACAGGACGGAAAGACCCCAUGGAGCUUUACUGUAGCUUGAUAUUGAGUAUCUGUUAAACAUGUACAGGAUAGGUAGGAGCCAGAGAAAGUAGGACGCUAGUCUUACUGGAGGCGCUGUUGGGAUACUACCCUUGUUUGAUGGAUGCUCUAACCUAGGUCGCUAAGCGUGGCCAGGGACAGUGUCAGGUGGGCAGUUUGACUGGGGCGGUCGCCUCCUAAAGUGUAACGGAGGCGCCCAAAGGUUCCCUCAGAAUGGUUGGAAAUCAUUCGCAGAGUGUAAAGGUAUAAGGGAGCUUGACUGCGAGACAGACAAGUCGAGCAGGGACGAAAGUCGGGCUUAGUGAUCUGGUGGUACCGCAUGGAAGGGCCAUCACUCAACGGAUAAAAGCUACCCUGGGGAUAACAGGCUUAUCUCCCCCAAGAGUUCACAUCGACGGGGAGGUUUGGCACCUCGAUGUCGGCUCGUCGCAUCCUGGGGCUGAAGUCGGUCCCAAGGGUUGGGCUGUUCGCCCAUUAAAGCGGCACGCGAGCUGGGUUCAGAACGUCGUGAGACAGUUCGGUCCCUAUCCGUCGUGGGCGUAGGAAAUUUGAGAGGAGCUGUCCUUAGUACGAGAGGACCGGGAUGGACAUACCGCUGGUGUACCAGUUGUUCUGCCAAGGGCAUCGCUGGGUAGCUAUGUAUGGAAGGGAUAAGCGCUGAAAGCAUCUAAGUGCGAAGCCCCCCUCGAGAUGAGAUUUCCUUUGCGAAAGCAAUAAGACACCUCAAAGACUAUGAGGUAGAUAGGCUGGGAGUGGAAGUAGAG